Molecule: ribosomal RNA, 254 nt
Filed under: uncultured bacterium
Lineage: Bacteria
Description: partial 16S ribosomal RNA
Rfam family: Bacterial small subunit ribosomal RNA
Source: RNAcentral
UACGUAGGGUCCAAGCGUUGUCCGGAUUUAUUGGGCGUAAAGAGCUCGUAGGCGGUUCCGUAAGUCGGAUGUGAAAACUCGGGGCUCAACCCCGAGACGCCAUCCGAUACUGCGGUGACUUGAGUCUGGUAGGGGAACACGGAAUUCCUGGUGUAGCGGUGAAAUGCGCAGAUAUUAGGAGGAACACCGGUGGCGAAGGCGCCACUCUGGGCCGAAACUGACGCUGAGGAGCGAAAGCGUGGGUAGCAAACAGG